UAGUCAUAUGCUUGUCUCAAAGAUUAAGCCAUGCAUGUCUAAGUAUAAAUGGAUUAUACAGUGAAACUGCGAAUGGCUCAUUAAAUCAGUUAUAGUUUAUUUGAUAAUAUCUCUUACUUGGAUAACCGUAAUAAUUUUAGAGCUAAUACAUGCGCAAAAGGGCGACUUUUCGGAAGCCCUGUAUUUAUUAGAUACAGAACCAAUCGUGCUUGCACGCUUCCAUGGUGAUUCAUAAUAACUAAACGAAUCGCAUGACUUUAUGUCGGCGAUGAUUCAUAUAAGUUUCUGCCCUAUCAACUUUCGAUGGUAAGGUAUUGGCUUACCAUGGUUACAACGGGUGACGGAGAAUUAGGGUUCGAUUCCGGAGAGGGAGCCUGAGAAACGGCUACCACUUCUACGGAGGGCAGCAGGCGCGCAAAUUACCCAAUCCUGGCUCAGGGAGGUAGUGAAGAAUAAUAACAAUACGUGACUAAGGUCUAGUAAUUGGAAUGAGUACAAUUUAAACCCCUUAAUGAAAGCCAUAAAG
This 526-nucleotide ribosomal RNA is filed under the name uncultured eukaryote. Its description in RNAcentral is "bacterial SSU rRNA". It matches the Rfam family "Eukaryotic small subunit ribosomal RNA", at positions 21 to 552 of the family's 1831-position model. The record is from RNAcentral.